UUUCCGUAGGUGAACCUGCGGAAGGAUCAUUGUCGUGACCCUGACCAAAACAGACCGCGCACGCGUCAUCCAAUCCGCCGGUGACGGCAGCGUCCAUUGCUCGGCCAAGUCCUCGACCGCCUCCCCUCCUCGGAGUGGGGGCUCGGGGUAAAAGAACCCACGGCGCCGAAGGCGUCAAGGAACACUGUGCCUAACCCGGGGGCAUGGCUAGCUUGCUAGUCGUCCCCCGUGUUGCAAAGCUAUUUAAUCCACACGACUCUCGGCAACGGAUAUCUCGGCUCUC
RNAcentral lists this unclassified non-coding RNA (283 nucleotides) under root metagenome. Its description in RNAcentral is "partial contains small subunit ribosomal RNA, internal transcribed spacer 1, and 5.8S ribosomal RNA". The record is from RNAcentral.